GGGCCUUUAGCUCAGCUGGUUAGAGCGUGCGCUUGAUAAGCGCAAGGUCGAUGGUUCGAUCCCAUUAAGGCCCACCA
This 77-nucleotide transfer RNA is filed under the name bacterium. RNAcentral's name for it is "tRNA-Ile". It matches the Rfam family "tRNA". Rfam says of the family: Transfer RNA (tRNA) molecules are approximately 80 nucleotides in length. Their secondary structure includes four short double-helical elements and three loops (D, anti-codon, and T loops). The record is from RNAcentral. RNAcentral also lists the same sequence under 2 other names.